UGUAAGAACAAAAAUUGUUCUACAACAGAUUCCUUGAUUUUGAUGAUAACAAAGGAUGAAACCAAAAAUGGCACCCUAACGAAAAGUUUCUAAGUGUGCAGGAUUCUAAAGAAAGAAGGAAGAAAUCUGAUGAUGUCAUCAGAUACAGAAGCAGAUCAGAUACAUAUUCUCAAAUGAUCAGAAGCAUCUGAUGAGGAAACACGCUC
RNAcentral lists this long non-coding RNA (206 nucleotides) under Lathyrus oleraceus (garden pea). RNAcentral's name for it is "Pisum sativum (pea) long non-coding RNA (PSAT_LNC042199)". The record is from RNAcentral. Lineage: Eukaryota; Viridiplantae; Streptophyta; Magnoliopsida; Fabales; Fabaceae.